Molecule: ribosomal RNA, 709 nt
Filed under: uncultured bacterium
Lineage: Bacteria
Description: bacterial SSU rRNA
Rfam family: Bacterial small subunit ribosomal RNA
Source: RNAcentral
AGUGGCGCACGGGUGAGUAACGCGUAUGCAACCUGCCUUUAACAGAGGGAUAGCCCAUAGAAAUGUGGAUUAAUACCUCAUAGUUCUUUUGUUCCGCAUGGGACAGAAGAUAAAGCUCCGGCGGUUAAAGAUGGGCAUGCGUGACAUUAGUUAGUUGGUGAGGUAACGGCUCACCAAGACUACGAUGUCUAGGGGUUCUGAGAGGAUGAUCCCCCACACUGGUACUGAGACACGGACCAGACUCCUACGGGAGGCAGCAGUGAGGAAUAUUGGUCAAUGGGCGCAAGCCUGAACCAGCCAUCCCGCGUGCAGGAUGACGGCCCUAUGGGUUGUAAACUGCUUUUAUACACCAAGAAACUUUCGGACGUGUCCGGAACUGACGGUAGUGUAUGAAUAAGCAUCGGCUAACUCCGUGCCAGCAGCCGCGGUAAUACGGAGGAUGCGAGCGUUAUCCGGAUUCAUUGGGUUUAAAGGGUGCGUAGGCGGCUUUUUAAGUCAGUGGUGAAAUCCUGCCGCUUAACGGUAGAAUUGCCAUUGAUACUGAAGAGCUUGAGUACAAUUGAGGUAAGCGGAAUGUGUAGUGUAGCGGUGAAAUGCUUAGAUAUUACGCAGAACACCGAUUGCGAAGGCGGCUUACUAAACUGUCACUGACGCUGAUGCGCGAAAGCGUGGGGAGCGAACAGGAUUAGAUACCCUGGUAGUCCACGCC